AACAUUUUUGCUGUUAAAAAGAUAAACUAAGGGAUGUUAAAAAUUUUGAGUUUAUUCGAGCAAAAAUUGAUUGGAAUUAGGCGCUGCCAAACCAAAUGUAGUUAGGAGCACUGAGCCAACAGAAUUCAGGGGAAAGGCUUAUAUAGACAGUGCAGAAGCAGGGAAAGGAAAUUAUUUGAUUGGCUAUAUAUUAAAGUCUAGUUGGCUUUUUGUGAUUGGUUAUCCUUAGCGUUUUGAUAUUGGAACCUUGAGGCAUUUACAGGCUUAGAUUUUGGUUUGCACACAUUGGCCACUGUGGCAUUAGAGCCACCUUGAUCUAACGGCCUCCUUGUCUAAUCAAUUUAACAGACUUGAGGGAUAAAAGGAGCUAACCCCGCAGAGAUCUGGAGAUGGAAGAGAAAGGCUGUGAAGCAAAAGAUGUGCGUGGUAAAGUUGGGAGGAUGGAAGGAGCAGCUGGAAGGAGCCCCCCGUGAAAGAGAAGAAUUGCGGUGGUAGUAAGCAGCAUGUGCUUCCAUAGCACCUUCAUGCCUGGGACGCCGAAGAUUUCAGUCCUGGGUUGCUGUCAUGGUGGUGACGAGUCUCAGAAAUCUCAGAACCAUGGAGCCUGCAUGUGGCUAAGAGCUUGGGCUCUAACCUCAGAGUCUGAACCCCUAUUUUUGCCUAAGGCAAGAAGAAUGAAGUGGAAGAGCAGUACCAGAAAAAUGCAGCUUACUCGUCAUUUGCCAGAACUGAGUCAUGAGGGCCACCUCUACCUGCAGGGCGAUCUGAGAAGGUACGUUCACUUUCUUGCAUCUCU
This 796-nucleotide long non-coding RNA is filed under the name Ursus maritimus (polar bear). RNAcentral's name for it is "lncRNA (ENSUMAG00000002620.1)". Lineage: Eukaryota; Metazoa; Chordata; Mammalia; Carnivora; Ursidae. The record is from RNAcentral.